This 291-nucleotide unclassified non-coding RNA is filed under the name Hevea brasiliensis (rubber tree). The record is from RNAcentral. Lineage: Eukaryota; Viridiplantae; Streptophyta; Magnoliopsida; Malpighiales; Euphorbiaceae.
GUCUCUAUCAAAGUAGGCAUACAUGGAAUGGUAUACAUAUGACACAUUGUAUUCAACAUUAAUUUGCUCAUUAAUGGCAGCCUCACAGGCAUCGCUAUACUUUUGACGAGCAAGCGAGACUUGAGGGGCAGUGGGAAUAAGACUAAGCUCCUUCUUGACCUCUUCAAAGGGCUCAAAAACCACCCCCGUUAACGGCCGAGUGUUGGCGCCCUUUGAGGCCGAAACAACGACACCGCCAGCAUUUCUGGCCGGAGAAAGCCUGAGAAUUGAAGAGGAAGAGGAAGAAGAAGA